AUUUUUUCUCUUUUCUUUUGGGUGUAAAGAGGAAUUUCCUCUUUCAGAAAAAGAUGUCAAUUUAUCCUUUAUUUUGAUUUAUUUCUUUGUGUUUGCUUUAGUCCAUGUCUUUCCCUUUGAUUAAACUCAAGUAUUUCCAGAUAUGUUUCACUUUUAAGGCUGGUCUUUUUGUGCCUUACCUUUUUUCUUAUUCAUAGGUGAUGAUGUUUUGGUUUUCUCCCCUUGCUCACUCCUUAUACUGGUUUUUGAACCUAGGGGAUCUCUAACACUGAACUACUUCCACAGUCUAUUUCAGUUUUUAUUUUGAGACCCGGUCUUGCUAAAUUGCCCAGGCUGCCCUCAAACUGGUGAUCCUCCUGCCUUCUCAGCCUCCUUAGUUGUGGAUUACUGGUGGGCAUCCCACCACACUCGGCAAUGUUUUGGUUCUUGAUUGUUUCUUUAGAUUCCCGAUUUCUCCUUUUAUUGCAUUCUUUUGUUGAUUUUUUUCUAGUUUACUAUGUGUUUGCCCCUGAGGGUCACCAAAGAAGCAGAGAGAUUUUCUCACCCCUGACACCAAUAGUACAGAACAGACACAGAAGAACUCAAAUAACCAUCAAAGCCCUGUGUAAGUUCAAGAUGGGUGAUGAGACAUCAGGUGCUGUAUGUUGAGAAGGUGAAGUUGGGACAAGUUGGUGGCUGGGGUGUUCAAAGACCUGAGAUAGAGGGCUGAGCAGCACUUCAGUGAUGCUCUGGUCUGUGGAAGACUGGCAGAAGAAGGCAGGUGGUGGAAGGUGGGCAUCACAGUGUAGGUGGGAGCCACACUAGGCAGGGUUCAUUGGGCACAGGGUUUGGAUCCUCAGGCUUCACAUUACCUGGGUUCCAGUUUUCAUUCUAUUAUUUGCUAGCUAUGUGACUUUAAGCCAGUACUUGAUCUC
RNAcentral lists this long non-coding RNA (914 nucleotides) under Marmota monax (woodchuck). Lineage: Eukaryota; Metazoa; Chordata; Mammalia; Rodentia; Sciuridae. The record is from RNAcentral.